AUAGUCCUGAUGUGUUCGUCUUCAUUCCUUUUAUUUUGACCUAACAUUUUUUGAUUGGGAGCUUGGAGUUUUCGAUCAGCGUACAUGCCUUUAUUUAAAGGACUUACAAUGAUUGAAGCAGAGCACCCACCUGCCGAGAGCGGGUUCAAAACAUUGGUAUGUAGGACGGCACGAUUGGGACUAUA
Molecule: non-coding RNA, 185 nt
Filed under: Priestia iocasae
Lineage: Bacteria; Bacillati; Bacillota; Bacilli; Caryophanales; Bacillaceae
Description: 6S RNA
Rfam family: 6S / SsrS RNA
About the family: E. coli 6S RNA was the first non coding RNA to be sequenced, but its function was unknown until recently. It consists of 184 nucleotides that fold into an extended hairpin structure with a large single-stranded internal bulge. The 6S RNA specifically associates with RNA polymerase holoenzyme containing the sigma70 specificity factor.
Source: RNAcentral